CUAUUACUCAAUGCUGAGUAGUGGAUGGCUCGGUUCGAGAAGCCGAUGAAGGACGUGGUAAGCUGCGAUAAGCUUGGGCGAGGCGCAUGCAGCCUUGGAGCCCAAGAUUUCCGAAUGCGACUUCGUGACCUGUUUCGACAGGUCGACACGCAAUGUGUCGGUAACGCGGUGAAGUGAAACAUCUCAGUAGCCGUAGGAAAAGAAACCAAUAGGGAUUCCCUUAGUAGUGGCGAACGAAAGGGGAAUAGCGCAAACUGAAGCUUCUACAGUGAUGUAGAAGCGAUGUGGUUCGUUCUUCCUUUAGAACUGAAUGGGAUAGCUUAACUCCUCUGGAAAGAGGGGCCGUAGAGAGUGAUAGCCUCGUAGGCAACUUCCGUGACGUUCAUAGGUUGAGCAAGAGUAGCACGGGUUGGAAAUCCUGUGUGAAGAUGGGAGGCACAUUCUUCCAACGCUAAAUACUUCUCGAGUCCGAUAGCGCACUAAGUACCGUGAGGGAAAGCUGAAAAGUACCCCUAGAAAGGGGGUUAAAAGAGCCUCAAACUAUUCAGUAAUAGGCUAGAUAUGGCAUGAAAGCGUCGAUAUCUCUGAACGAAUCAGUCGAGAGACUUUAGUAGGAACGAGGUGGAGCGAUGUCAUAUCAUCCGUUUUGAAAAACGGGGCAGGGAGUUUGUCACCGUGGCGAAGCUAAGUCGUUUACGCGAUGGAGCUGUAGCGAAAGCAAGAAGCCCGCAACGUCUUUGACGUGAGGGGCCGCGUGUUAACGCGCGUGAAGUCACCGUGACAUGAUCCGAAACCGGUCGAUCCUGGCCUGGCCCGGCUGAAGCGGCGCGAAAGCUCCGUGGAAGGCCUCACCGGUGCUGUGUUACAAGCGCUCGGGUGAGCUAGGUCAAGGGGUGAAAUGUCAAUCGAGAUCGGUUAUCGCUGGUUCCUCUCCAAAUGGAUCGAAGUCCAGCCUCAAGCGAGACGGUCUAAGAGGUAAAGCUACUGAUUCUGGGUUUCUGGACGCAAGUCCAGGCCUGGAGUCAAACUCUGAACUCUUAGACGUUGUAGACCUUGGGAGUGAGGGGCAAUGCGUAAGGUAUUGUUCCUAGAGGGAAACAACCCAGAGCAUGGUUAAGGUCCCAUAAUUCCUGGCUAAGUGUCGUUGAGGAUGUCCUGAUUCUCAGACAGCGGGAAGGUUAGCUUAGAAGCAGCUACCCUUUAAAGAAAGCGUAACAGCUCACCCGUUGAGAGUCGGGGCGCCGUAAAUGGACGGGGCUCAAGCCAGGAACCGAGACCAUGCCGUUCACUUUUGUGGACGGGUAGAGAGGCGGUCUGCAUGGACGGAAGCACGGAGUUGACUUCGUGUGGACCGUGUAGACACGAGAAUCCUGCCGGCAGUAUCAGCACAAGAACGGUGAGAAUCCGUUCCGCCAAAAAAGGAAGGGUUCCUCUGCAAUGUUUAUCAGCAGAGGGUUAGUCGGUCCUAACUCCACUCCUAACUGGACGUGGAGGAAUAGGGAAGCAGGUUAAUAUUCCUGCACCUACUCACGUUAACUGACAUUUCGGGAUAACGGAAGCUGCGCCUUCGCGCAGUCUAAACUGUUAAUGCAUGGCGAGCGUAAUGCUUAGAGCCUGCGAAUCAGUGAAUGGCCUGGGAAAAAUCCCGGGUUUCCGCUAUUCUUGGAAUCCAUGAAAAGGUGUGAGAGACCGUACCCAGAACCAGCACAGGUCCUUUGGCUGAGUAGGCUAAGGCGUAUCGGGUAUAACGCAGCUUAGGGAAUUCGGCAAAUUAGCCCCGUACCUUCGGUAGAUGGGGUGCCUAUCCACUUGAUUGGAUAGGUUGCAAUUACCAGGGAAGCUCGACUGUUUACUAAAAACAUAGCCGACUGCUAGUUCGAAAGGAUUUGUAUAGUCGGCGACUCUUGCCCAGUGCCAGCACCUGAAACCUCCGUUCAAGGAGAAGAAGGGCUGGUAAACGGCGGCGGUAACUAUGACCGUCUUAAGGUAGCGUAGUCCCUUGCCAAUUAAUUGUUGGCCCGCAUCAAUAGAGUAACGAGGUUUCCACUGUCCCAAGCUGUGGUCCGGUGAACCCGCCAUACCGGCGCACAGGCCGGUGACUCCUGGUGGGAAGCGAAGUCCCUGUGAACCUUCACUGCAGUCUAUCGUUGCGGUGGGGUCCCAAGUGUGAAGCGUAGGUAGGAGACAUUACAGAGGCGCGGUCGCUAGGCCGUCGCCCAGUCGUCCAUUGGACACUACCCUCUUGGAACCCCGCUGCUUACUUCUACGGAAGGACAGCGGUAGCUGGGCAGUUUAGCUGGGGCGGCAUCCCUCUGAUAACACAUCAGAGGGGUCCAAAGGUAGGCUCAACCCGGUCAGAAAUCGGGUGUAGAGUACAAAGGCAAAAGCCUGCCUGACUGGAAUCCUGAUAGUAGGGUUUCCAGGCGCGAAAGCGUGGCUUAGCGAACGCCUAUAGCCAAAAUUUUCGUGAGGCUUAGGCCUGACAAGAAAGGUACUCCAGGGAUAACUGGAUUGUCUGAGGCGCGAGCUCACAUCGACCCUCAGGCUUGUUACUUCGAUGUCGGCUCUCCGUAUCCUGGCUGUGCAACAGCAGCCAAGGGUGGGGGUGUUCACCCAUUAAAACGGAUCGUGAGCUGGGUUUAGAUCGGCGCGAGCCAGAUCUGUUGCUAUCUGCCAGGAGUGCAGAGUGGUCUGAGAGGAAAGUCCGGACAGUACGAAAGGAACCCCGGACUGGAGCCUCUGGUGUAUCGGUCGUCCGGAAGGGCGGUGCCGAGUAGCUACGCUCCACAGGUGUAAGAGCUGAAAGCAUCUAAGCUCGAAAGCUACCUCAAAAAGAGACCGCAUUUCCCGCGCCCAUAUAAGAUGGGUUGAUAGAGUGGCGGUGUAAGUACCAAGGCAACGAGGUAUUCAGCCGACCACUACUAAGAGCGGAACUCGGGUUCA
RNAcentral lists this ribosomal RNA (2943 nucleotides) under Nanohaloarchaea archaeon PL-Br10_U2g27. RNAcentral describes it as "bacterial LSU rRNA". It matches the Rfam family "Archaeal large subunit ribosomal RNA". Lineage: Archaea; Methanobacteriati; Methanobacteriota; Candidatus Nanohaloarchaea. The record is from RNAcentral. RNAcentral also lists the same sequence under 1 other name.